This 34-nucleotide small RNA is filed under the name Arabidopsis thaliana (thale cress). Its description in RNAcentral is "ATSL011480". The record is from RNAcentral. Lineage: Eukaryota; Viridiplantae; Streptophyta; Magnoliopsida; Brassicales; Brassicaceae.
UCUGAAACUUAUUAUUAGCCGUCUUUUUUUGGUU